GGUACCUCAAACCUCCCAGGUCUUCCUCGUUCUCCUCUGGUAUUUCUUUCAAUUUUCCACAAAUUUUUGACUCCUAUAUCAUGACAUAUAGGGCAGCCUCCUUUUAUAUGGCAGACUAGGUCAUAAGACCUUGUCUAACAUGGAGUCCUUGGGGCAUCCAACUCUUGGACGCCCCCUAUCUCAUUUAUUUCAUGGAUAGCAUGAAAAUAACCACAAGAGGGGUAACAAAAAGGAGGAUAAACAUGGGGAAUGUUGGUGCAAGAGAGGGAGGGAAGAGUCCUUGUGAAGAGGGACUCUUUCAAAAAGAGAAAUAGGCUAAACCACUUUCCACAAUGAACCAAAUUAAUUUUCAUAUUGAACC
Molecule: long non-coding RNA, 361 nt
Filed under: Elaeis guineensis (African oil palm)
Lineage: Eukaryota; Viridiplantae; Streptophyta; Magnoliopsida; Arecales; Arecaceae
Description: long non-coding RNA (EGUI_LNC042961)
Source: RNAcentral